AUGUUGAGCUUGACGUGGUCCAUCGGUGUUGGCUCUGGUGUCUCCUUCGUUUUUGGUUUCCCUCUUACCCUCGCCCUCGCCUCCUACGCCUUCUUUUGCCCGAUUGGACUAGGUUGAUGACAAGGUCAUUAGACCACCCAUGUGCCAAUGGGACUUCAAAUGCUUGGUGCUUGUAGGUACGACUGUCACACCCCGACCCGUAGCGGAAAUAGGUGAUCGGGGCAUGAUCGGGUUAACU
This 238-nucleotide long non-coding RNA is filed under the name Helianthus annuus (common sunflower). RNAcentral describes it as "sRNA HanXRQr2_Chr17g0785701". Lineage: Eukaryota; Viridiplantae; Streptophyta; Magnoliopsida; Asterales; Asteraceae. The record is from RNAcentral.